RNAcentral lists this ribosomal RNA (946 nucleotides) under Salmonella enterica subsp. enterica serovar Typhimurium. RNAcentral's name for it is "partial 23S ribosomal RNA". It matches the Rfam family "Bacterial large subunit ribosomal RNA", at positions 711 to 1571 of the family's 2925-position model. The record is from RNAcentral. Lineage: Bacteria; Pseudomonadati; Pseudomonadota; Gammaproteobacteria; Enterobacterales; Enterobacteriaceae.
AGACCCGAAACCCGGUGAUCUAGCCAUGGGCAGGUUGAAGGUUGGGUAACACUAACUGGAGGACCGAACCGACUAAUGUUGAAAAAUUAGCGGAUGACCUGUGGCUGGGGGUGAAAGGCCAAUCAAACCGGGAGAUAGCUGGUUCUCCCCGAAAGCUAUUUAGGUAGCGCCUCGUGAAUUCAUCUCCGGGGGUAGAGCACUGUUUCGGCUAGGGGGCCAUCCCGGCUUACCAACCCGAUGCAAACUGCGAAUACCGGAGAAUGUUAUCACGGGAGACACACGGCGGGUGCUAACGUCCGUCGUGAAGAGGGAAACAACCCAGACCGCCAGCUAAGGUCCCAAAGUCAUGGUUAAGUGGGAAACGAUGUGGGAAGGCCCAGACAGCCAGGAUGUUGGCUUAGAAGCAGCCAUCAUUUAAAGAAAGCGUAAUAGCUCACUGGUCGAGUCGGCCUGCGCGGAAGAUGUAACGGGGCUAAACCAUGCACCGAAGCUGCGGCAGCGAACGUAUCACCCAAGACAACUUUACGGAGUUGACGAUUGACGGAGCGAAGCGACGUCAAAGCGUUCAUUAAAGUCGAGUUGGCUUAGGGAUACGUUCGUUGGGUAGGGGAGCGUUCUGUAAGCCUGUGAAGGUGUGUCGUGAGGCAUGCUGGAGGUAUCAGAAGUGCGAAUGCUGACAUAAGUAACGAUAAAGCGGGUGAAAAGCCCGCUCGCCGGAAGACCAAGGGUUCCUGUCCAACGUUAAUCGGGGCAGGGUGAGUCGACCCCUAAGGCGAGGCCGAAAGGCGUAGUCGAUGGGAAACGGGUUAAUAUUCCCGUACUUGGUGUUACUGCGAAGGGGGGACGGAGAAGGCUAUGUUGGCCGGGCGACGGUUGUCCCGGUUUAAGCGUGUAGGUGUGUGUUCCAGGUAAAUCCGGUUCACUUUAACACUGAGGCGUGAUGACG